UCCCUGGUGGUCCAGGGACUAAGACUCCACACUUUGAAUGCGGUGGGCACAGGUUCAAUCCCUGGUCAGAGAA
This 73-nucleotide transfer RNA is filed under the name Bos taurus (domestic cattle). It matches the Rfam family "tRNA". Rfam says of the family: Transfer RNA (tRNA) molecules are approximately 80 nucleotides in length. Their secondary structure includes four short double-helical elements and three loops (D, anti-codon, and T loops). Further hydrogen bonds mediate the characteristic L-shaped molecular structure. tRNAs have two regions of fundamental functional importance: the anti-codon, which is responsible for specific mRNA codon recognition, and the 3' end, to which the tRNAs corresponding amino acid is attached (by aminoacyl-tRNA synthetases). tRNAs cope with the degeneracy of the genetic code in two manners: having more than one tRNA (with a specific anti-codon) for a particular amino acid; and 'wobble' base-pairing, i.e. permitting non-standard base-pairing at the 3rd anti-codon position. RNAcentral also lists the same sequence under 2 other names. The record is from Rfam by way of RNAcentral. Lineage: Eukaryota; Metazoa; Chordata; Mammalia; Artiodactyla; Bovidae.